Molecule: ribosomal RNA, 533 nt
Filed under: uncultured Nitrobacter sp.
Lineage: Bacteria; Pseudomonadati; Pseudomonadota; Alphaproteobacteria; Hyphomicrobiales; Nitrobacteraceae
Description: bacterial SSU rRNA
Rfam family: Bacterial small subunit ribosomal RNA
Source: RNAcentral
CUUUUGUGCGGGAAGAUAAUGACGGUACCGCAAGAAUAAGCCCCGGCUAACUUCGUGCCAGCAGCCGCGGUAAUACGUUAUUUGGCUAUUGCGUUGCUCGAUGAAUUACUGGGCGUAAAGGGUGCGUAGGCGAAGGUCUUUAAGUAUCAGGGGUGAAAUCCUGGAGCUCAACUCCAGAACUGCCUUUGAUACUGAUUGAUCUUGAGUUCGGGAGAGGAAUGAGUGGAACUGCGAGUGUAGAGGUGAAAUUCGUAGAUAUUCGCAAGAACACCAGUGGCGUUAAGGCGGCUCUGACUGGCCCGAUACUGACGCUGAGGCACGAAUGGAGCGUGGGGACAAGCAAACAGGAUUAGAUACCCUGGUAGUCCAUACGCCGUAAACGAUGAAUGCCAAAGCCGUUAGUGAGGGUUUACUCACUAGUGGUUUCAGCUAACGCUUUAAGCAUUCCGCCUGGGGAGUACGGUCGCAAGAUUAAAUUACUCAAAGGAUUAUUGACGGGGCCGCCCGCACAAGUUUUGGAGCCCAUAUGUGGU